Long non-coding RNA from Pomacea canaliculata, 599 nucleotides. RefSeq lists it as uncharacterized. The transcript is spliced from 3 exons. The record is from RefSeq and is a predicted model, not a curated record. Lineage: Eukaryota; Metazoa; Mollusca; Gastropoda; Architaenioglossa; Ampullariidae.
UUGUUCAUUCUCCUGUUUAUCUUAUGAUAAUACACUUCAGGCUGCUAGCAGAUGGCAGAGCCAUAAAGUUGAACAAUAAAUUUUUGCUGGCGUUCUGAGCUUAUUUUAUACAAUAAACUGUAGGUGAGGGAAUAGCAAAGUAAUAUCUGAUUACUGACACGUGGAAAUCACGUGAUGACGGACGUCAUGUGUUGCCCUGUAUUAUAAAGUCUCAAGCAAGCCAAAUAUUUAUUUAUUCUUUACAAACUUCUCUACACGUGUCCAACUGGGUGGCAACAAUGGCGACACCUGUACAGGUGGCAAAGCUGCUGUGCACAGUUCUGCUGAUGGUGGCGACGUGGGCGACAUGUCAGGCAGGAGAGGAUUGUGUUCCCUUCGAUCAUCCCUGCCAGGAAGGAAUGAAGUGCUGUGUAGGCGAGUGUACAGCAACUGAUGGAGGCUACAAAUGCUAUGGAGACCUAAAUUCAGGGCUCGUUGGAACUAUUCUUAUCAGUUAACAGCAAGAUGUCAGACUGGGAUGUCGACCUUCCAACCUGGUGCUCAGCCAUCUGUGACAUGGCGAUGACACCUCUUUCGAAUUACAUCUUUUUCGGAAAAAU